UACGUAGGGUGCAAGCGUUAAUCGGAAUUACUGGGCGUAAAGCGUGCGCAGGCGGCUUUGCAAGACAGAUGUGAAAUCCCCGGGCUUAACCUGGGAACUGCAUUUGUGACUGCAUGGCUGGAGUGCGGCAGAGGGGGAUGGAAUUCCGCGUGUAGCAGUGAAAUGCGUAGAUAUGACGGAGGAACACCGAUGGCGAAGGCAAUCCCCUGGGCCUGCACUGACGCUCAUGCACGAAAGCGUGGGGAGCAAACAGG
Molecule: ribosomal RNA, 254 nt
Filed under: uncultured bacterium
Lineage: Bacteria
Description: partial 16S ribosomal RNA
Rfam family: Bacterial small subunit ribosomal RNA
Source: RNAcentral